This 498-nucleotide ribosomal RNA is filed under the name Triticum aestivum (bread wheat). Its description in RNAcentral is "partial small subunit ribosomal RNA". Lineage: Eukaryota; Viridiplantae; Streptophyta; Magnoliopsida; Poales; Poaceae. The record is from RNAcentral.
AUGCCCUUGGAUCCACGCCACCCUGAAUCGGCGUCGUCCCGCUGCCUUCCAGUUGGGCAGCCACAAUACUCAACAAGCGUCGGCGCCUCUCCCGCCUUCCUCCACUGCGCCGAGGUCACCGGGCACCGAGGCGGACUAGGACAGGCCAUGGCCCCACCUCCUUCUGGUUGCCAGAUCCGGCGACCCCCCGUGGCCUGGGAUCCCCCCACCUCCGCCUCUGCGCCUCUGCAUCGCCGUCCUCGUCGGGCCCGACGUCGCUUAUCCGGCCACGCGAGGAUGCAGCCUGGCCCGGCCACAUCGUCGUCGUCCUCGUCUCAGGCCAUCACCGCCCGGAUCUGCACCACCACCGGUGCCCCGUCGCGCACCUAUCCACCUCCAGGGGCUGAUGAGGAGACCAGGCAGCGUCCAUCUCUCCUCUUUGGUGAGGCCUCGGAUGAGCAUCUCCGCCUCAGUCCAAUUCCUACCCCCGCGAUCUCUUCUUUUGGACUGAUUUGUUGA